AUUGAACGCUGGCGGCAGGCCUAACACAUGCAAGUCGAACGAGUGGCGGCCAGGUGAGUAAUGCUUGGGAAUCUAGCUUAUGGAGGGGGAUAACUACGGGCAACUGUAGCUAAUACCGCGUACCCUAGGCUUAACCCAAGUGGGCUUAGGUAGUUGGUGAGGUAAAGGCUCACCAAGCCGACGAUCUCUAGCUGGUCUGAGAGGAUGACCAGCCACACUGGGACUGAGACACGGCCCAGACGCCUACGGGAGGCAGCAGUGGGGAAUAUUGAGCAAUGGGGGCAACCUGACGCAGCAAUGCCGCGUGAAUGAAGAAGGCUUUCGGGUUGUAAAGUUCUUUCGGUAGCGAGGCGUUAACUACAGAAGAAGCACCGGCUAACUCCGUGCCAGCAGCCGCGGUAAUUC
This 405-nucleotide ribosomal RNA is filed under the name uncultured bacterium. Its description in RNAcentral is "partial 16S ribosomal RNA". It matches the Rfam family "Bacterial small subunit ribosomal RNA", at positions 30 to 526 of the family's 1533-position model. The record is from RNAcentral.